UGGAAGCAAAGGAAGCCACUCU
Molecule: non-coding RNA, 22 nt
Filed under: Rattus norvegicus (Norway rat)
Lineage: Eukaryota; Metazoa; Chordata; Mammalia; Rodentia; Muridae
Source: RNAcentral